ACUCCUACGGGAGGCAGCAGUGGGGAAUAUUGCACAAUGGGCGCAAGCCUGAUGCAGCCAUGCCGCGUGUAUGAAGAAGGCCUUCGGGUUGUAAAGUACUUUCAGCGGGGAGGAAGGCGAUAAGGUUAAUAACCUUGUUGAUUGACGUUACCCGCAGAAGAAGCACCGGCUAACUCCGUGCCAGCAGCCGCGGUAAUACGGAGGGUGCAAGCGUUAAUCGGAAUUACUGGGCGUAAAGCGCACGCAGGCGGUCUGUCAAGUCGGAUGUGAAAUCCCCGGGCUCAACCUGGGAACUGCAUUCGAAACUGGCAGGCUAGAGUCUUGUAGAGGGGGGUAGAAUUCCAGGUGUAGCGGUGAAAUGCGUAGAGAUCUGGAGGAAUACCGGUGGCGAAGGCGGCCCCCUGGACAAAGACUGACGCUCAGGUGCGAAAGCGUGGGGAGCAAACAGGAUUAGAUACCCUAGUAGUCCC
This 470-nucleotide ribosomal RNA is filed under the name uncultured organism. RNAcentral describes it as "partial 16S ribosomal RNA". It matches the Rfam family "Bacterial small subunit ribosomal RNA", at positions 335 to 797 of the family's 1533-position model. The record is from RNAcentral.